Molecule: ribosomal RNA, 7119 nt
Filed under: Triticum aestivum (bread wheat)
Lineage: Eukaryota; Viridiplantae; Streptophyta; Magnoliopsida; Poales; Poaceae
Description: partial small subunit ribosomal RNA
Source: RNAcentral
CUUUUCUCUUCGCUAAGAAACGUGGCGUCGUGUGCGUUGGAGGAGGAGACGAGGAAAGGGAGGGAGACGCGGCGACCUAGACGUCGUCGAGGGAGGGUACCAGGCGACUCUACUACCCGCUGUGCGGCGGCGGAUGGCGCGGGAGCUGGAGGAGGAGGAGGAGGGGGAGAAGUCGCCGCCGCUCGAGAAUCUCAGCCCCGGGAGCGGCGAGCAGAAGGAUGGGGAUGGGGACUAGGUGCUGCCGCCGUACCUGGAGAGGGCGAUGCCGCUCUCCGACGAGUCGAGGCAGGUGAGGCGUGCGAGGCAGGUGAGGCGUGCGAGGGAGCUGGAGGGGCUUGGGUCGGGGAAGGUGGCGGUAGGGAAGCUGAGGAGAGAAGACGGCGUCUAGCUGAGGUUGGCGCACGUCACGAGCUUAGGGCGACGGCGUAGAACUGAGGUUGGCACGCGACGCCCCCCAUAAGAGGCGGUUUUAGCGCGGUGGUGGCGAUGACGGUGUCUACUUCCAACCAAGCAAAUAACCACAAUCCAUUAUAACUACGUUCUAAAGAGGAGAUGGUCAGCGUUACCUAGGACUGCCGGUCUUUCUUCGUGUACUUCUUCAAUGUCCGUUACAGCUCCUGGCCCUCCACGUCGUACCCUGACCACUCCAAACUGCUCGUGGACUCGCGAUCUUUCAAACUACCCAGUCCCCCUCGUGAUCCAACCGUCGCUGGAGGUGUAACUUGGCAGUGCCAGGUUUUAUCCGUCACUUUUCCCUGUUUCGUGACCACCCAAGACCCUCCCCGUGGUUCAGUGGCUGCUCCAACGGUACCUUGGUGGCUCCAGGUUCUUGUUUUCCUCCUUCUUCCAGGUUAUCAAUACCUGAAUAGACCCAAAUAUGUAUUGUUCCUUCGCAUUCGAACAACACGUAUGUAACGAGCUAUUUUAUUACAUGAAUAGUAUCUACUUGUUACACGAUGUGGGCAGGUCCUAUGCAGUGUUGCCUCUGUAUCCGCGUCUGCACGUCGUCCCUGGGCAAGGUUCCUAAGAAAAGUCUAAUUCUGGGACGCAUUUGGAAAAAAUGAGAGAGAACAACUAUGUGUAGGGGACCAAAGAACCAUAUUGGUUCCUCCUCCGACCGCAAAACCGUACACCGGUGCAGUCUCAAAACGCGUAUGGACCUGUGAUCCCCGAAUAAUGAUUCCCGUAAUAGGGCGGGCGGGAGUAUUUCUGGCUUAUGGAAUCCCUCACAAGCCGCAGCGCUCAAACCGGAAUAUACGUAGUCGAGGCUUAGUACAGAAACCAGUUUACAACCCAAACGGGCCGAGUACACAAAACGACGGAAUGCAAAGCGAGAUAGCCGAUUCCGCCGUGGUCCUCCUGAUGACGCUAACACGGGGCCAAGCCGGUCCGCUCGUGGAGUCAUCUCUUUCGGUUUUUGACUGACAGUACUAUAUCGCACUCUGACCAGUUGGUGAGCUACUGAAUGGCCUUAGAAAUCCUAAGGAGGCGUAAUUGCUUCCCGGCAAAGGGCCGGUCCGUGUAUGCGCGGGGCUCAAACCCGCUCGCGUCCGCGGUGGUCCCCGAUAUAUUCAUCGGAGUUACAGUUUGAGGAUACCGAUUCACUUUCACUAUUUAGUAGUAUCAGGCUAACGGAUCAAGCGACGCGAUAGUGGAGGAAACAUCCUGGUUCUGCAACCUAGUUCACACUUUUACGCGGAAGACGUUUGUGGGGGCGUAAUACACGCACCCCCGACUUCGGCUGCUGACGGUAGAAAGUCUAAUAUAUGUGCAUAUACAAUUUGCCGGCGUGUACUCCAUAAGGUUAUGAACGUCCGUGUUCAUAUUUUUCGAAGAUGUUAAAUAGUUUUAUAACAAAAUGUUAUUAUGUACGAUAAGCUUAUAUCAUAGGAAACUCGUGACGCAGAGAUGAUUUGCUCGCGGAACGUCUUGAAGGACUUUUAUCGCGAGCCGUCCAUGAGCCGAAGGUAGGCUCAGACCCCUACGUUGUUGCCACGGAAGGUAAAGGCGGAUCAUACAGAAUUGUGCCCGUUCUCGGUAGGCGCGUGGGAGAUACGUGCGACUGGAGAAGUAGCGUAACUAUACGCCGUGGCGUGGUUCCUUGACGACGUGGUUCAACUUUAUUGAAAAGCCGAGACCGGAGAGACCGGUGUCUACUAAGUACUGUAUGAAGUACCGCUCAGGCCUGUUGGAUAAAUCGAGCCGGGUAAGCCGGUUUGCUAGCCGAUUACUGUCACCUGCGAGACCUAACACCUUGACACUGGUCUUCUCGAAAAGGUGAAGCGCUAGAAGAACUAGAACCUUCACAAGCCGGCGUAGACGCCGUGAGCGACGAUUUAGGUCUAUCCACAGGCGGCAUGAGGUGUAGACCAGAUUGCCUCGUACAAAUCUUAGUGUCUUGAAGGAGGCGUCAUAUUUCCCGAAAGAUCGGCGCUAGAGAGACCGGACUGCGUCGAGGAGGAAGUAUCGAGAGUAGCGUCUCGCUCGUGGAACCGUGGCCGUUGCCGGAAGAAGUCCAGGCAGGCAAGGCGGGCUAGAAGAAAAAGUUCUUCGAACGUUGCCAGUCGUUGCAAGAAGUCGGAGUGCCGGUAGAGCCGGUAAAGGAAGAACGAAACCGUCACUCGUCGUACAAGCCGAAAGUCGAGGAAUUAACGGAAAGGCAGUCGGCGUAGUGAAAAGGACCGAACGAGGAACCGAGCCCGUUCAAGGCGGGCUUCUAAGAGGUACCGUCGUCGUGGUAGACGUAGUUCGCGUGUGUAACAUUCUAUGACCGUAUUUCGAGGAGAAUGGUCCGCGGCGGCUGCCUUAAUGUAUGGAACACGGAGCAGCUCGGCGAACACCUGUUCGCACUACAGCCGUAUACGGUGCAGUUCAACGGCGAAAUCGAGCCGUUUAGGUAAUCAGGCCGACCGGUGGCCUGUGAAGCGGUGGAUGCAUAUUUCCGCCGUAUAAUCUGGACCCUAAUACUAGGAAACACGCGGCAGUGAAAACUGUUGUGUGUCUCAGAGUCCCCGAUGAUAGAUGUGUCCCGCGUACAAUAAAUACGCGUUGACAGGUUUUUACCAUGUAAUAAAGCGCAUGGAGUUUUGGACAGUCAUUUGAGGACUGCCUGAGCACGUUAGGCGAGAGGCGCCUACUUUAGGAGAGUUAGUGGCAUGGGUAGUUACGUGCCACGAGGAGACUCUACCUACGAGCGGGAUCGUCUAGGAAGUCGAGGAGGCUGGCGCGUGGUCUGCCGCGGCCUGAGCAGGCUACCGGGAAAAGCUUCCAGCCUGCGCCUCCCGAAACCCCCCGGUAUACUGAUGGAAGGCCGGGGCGGCCUAAACCUCUUUGGGAGGCACUACUAUGGAGUCCCAGCGGGCGGAGCGUUCCGCCAUGCCGUCCCCCUCCGCAAGGCGAGAGGUAGUAGAGGCCUUCUUCUAGGGGGCUUCUGCUCGAGACGACUCUUCCCGAUUCCAGGCUCGAUGUUCCAUUUAAAAGCUAAUGAAAAGAGUCUAUAUUUCGUCCCUAAAGAGAGCAAAGAAUUUUUCUUUUGAGGAGAGAUGAAUACCGAGCCACCUCCCGACUAGGGGAGCUCCCGUAUUAAGCCGGCUUCAUAGGGGGUCGUGUCCUGGGAGACCGCUUCUAAAGAAGGGAGCGAAAUUCCGGUACCAGAGGCCCAGAAGUCUCCGCUAGGAGAAGAAGGGGACUCCUCUCCUUAAAAGCUAAGGAGGGAAAGCCUAUUGGAGGAAACUCUUCAGACAUCGAAGGAACAGGGGAGGGAGCGAAAGGAAACUUCCGUGUUGGAGGUUGUAGGACUGAUCGUGCCCUGGGCCGCACCAGAGCUCCUCCCCCCGGCCUGUGGACUAAUCGAAACGAAAGCGAUGGGUGAGGACAAAUUUCCUGUUGAGAAAAUCCCCGUUAAAAUACUAUUUAUAUGCCUAUCGCUCAGGCCCGUGUUCCGAUGAAUGAACUCAUAGGCCUGCUAACGUAGAGUCUGGACGCAGGAGGCAUCUUAGGCCUGUGUGAUGAACACCAGGGUUCUUGUUAAACAUGUGGAGGUGCCCGCAGUACGGUUCUUUUACAACCUCUUGAGCACCAGGGAGGCCGAACUUGAGGGUGUUCGCCUCCCCCGCUGCAAACGUCCCGUCUUGAGCCGCUUAAUUGUAUUGGAUGCAGUGGUGCUGGUCUGACUACAGAGAAAGAUCCUCUAGAGCCUACACCGGGACGUUAUCCCCGUGCAGGAAACGGCCGGGGGUCAGGUCGGGGCAUAACUGGGUGCUGCGGUCAGCACCGCCCCCUGGGCUCGCUUUCCGUCCACCGCGGUGGGUGAAUCCCCGGAACCCUCGCCAUUAUAUUUUCGUGAGAGCAACGGUAUUCGACCUGAGGAGAACCUUUCUCGGGAACCCGGUACCUCAUGGUCGUAAGAACGAAUAUUUUCGUGGAGGCGUGAGGCGCACGGCAGGGAGUUAGUAGAAGCCGAGAUGAAACUUCCAGAACUCGGUAUCAGGCUUCACUCCUCACUAUGUCUCCUUCCGAAGUGUGUACUGCUACUUACUCCUUUAUACCUCCUACCCGAGGCCCCGAUUCAGCACUUUAAGGUCGGGUAUUAUUAUGUACUCGGGGGAGUGCUUCCCUAGGCAGCCCUUCGGAUCGGGGGCUUCCUUCACUCUGUACUUGUGGUGUGAGAGUGGCCCGAACCCUCACCCUUACUGGACGGGAACUCGUCCGUCGGAUACGCUCUAAAGCGGCCAGUUCUUGGACCGGAAAGAGUUGAAGUCGUGUAGGAGGAGGCACUGCCUCCUCCCGUAGGUAGCCGGAGCUCCAGCCUUGGCCUGUAACAGCUUCCAGGCUUCGCGGACUUUAGACCUUGGAACCCACAACCUUGAGCUCCGCUUCCCGCUUGAGCAAACUCUAACUUUCUUUCCUCAUUCCGGAACCAGAGAAAUAUUCUCCAACUUAUGGUUCCCGGAAGGGGCACUGGCAAACCCUGAGCGGAAACUAGCUCUUUUAUAUGGUUGCCCAUGCCAACCCAAUGGGUACGGGCAUAACUACUCUUAGGGCCUUAUUCCCCUGUGCUAGAGACGAAAUUGUUCUGCACGGUUCCUUUAGCGGAGCGAUUUGCGCGACUCCACCCUGUUAUUUUGCUAAGCUUAUUUCUGAACCGGCACCACACUACAGUGCGAUGCUUUAUGCAGUCGUCUAAUCUAAACACAUUUAUAAUAAGAGAGAUACCGUUAUACACCUUUGAAUAAAACAUCUCGGCCUGUGAUGGAAACACAAGUUUUAGAAGAUACUUCAUGAACCUCCUCCUUGGGCGGAACGUUACGGCUUCUGUUAGACGCGCGGCCUGAGCAGCAGUAACUUCUGACCAAGUCCCCGAUGACUCCCUCAGGACCUAAUCCCCCACAAGCCUACCGGCCUGAUAUGGAAGCCGGCCUGAGGACCUGAUACUUCUAUGUUCUAACUUCUGAAACAGGGCACAGGCCUUCCCUGAAAGGAACCGCACCUUCCGUUCGAACCGCUAUGCCUAUACAUCUAGAGGAUGGUAACAUUGGCUGAGACACAUUGGGAUCGGGAGAGGGCACAGAUAUAUUUGGCCUCUCAAAAUCAGGCAUCCUGUUUGUUGUUAGUAUGGUAUCCGAUCGAAGAUCCCAAAUCGGAGAGACUAGAGCACCAUCUAGAUGAGAACAUAAUGGGUAUAGUAGUUAUAGUUAGUUCGUCCUGUAUCCCAAAAUGGAGGUAGUUCUCCCGGGCUUGGACCCAUUUUGUAGCACAGGGGACGGAGGACAAUGGUAGGCCGGAUCUACGUGUCAAGCCCUGGGGGAUGGGCUCUAGGCAGCCAAAACUGUGGCUGUCACCCACUCCGCCAUCCUACGUCGUUGAGCGGCUAACGAACCAGCGGUGCCUACGGUUCGUUGUUCUCGCCCAAUCAAGCUGAGCCACAGAAAGAAAAAAAUAGGAGGGAGGGUACCUUAAACGGACCUAGAACCGCUCGAGGAGUUGGUGGACUAAAGAAGAACAAAGUUCACACGUGUGGAGAUCGAACUGAACACCACCACCGCCCAUAAUGACCUCGCCUCCGUGGAAAGCAAAAAGCAGGAGAAACAACCACCCUUCCCCGUCGUCCAGCCUCCUCCUUCGGUGUGUUAGAACCGUCCUCUCCUCUACCCCUUCCCACUGUUCGAUACACCUUACUGAGUCGCGACCACCUGCGGAACCUGGUACGACAGUGGUGGAUUUUCCCAGACGAUAUCUACAACUUUAGUUUCCGCACCGGAGAUAAACUAGUCAUCCCAAACGAUAUUUUGACUCUUCUUCUAUUCCUCCUCAUACCCAGACGUGCAUGGAUAUUCUUCUUCUACAGGAGUCUAAACUCCUAAGAACUCUACUCUAUCUAACGUCAUGUAGGAUAGUGGAGUACCUCUUUUCCUCGGAUCUUUUCUUGUAAGCUGAACUCGACCUUGCACUCCAUAUAGGAAAAGUCAAAUUUGUAAAGAAAAACAAACAAGGCAAUUACUAUCAAGUUAACACUCUUCACGACGUGAGCCGAGGGGACUGAUCACUUGAGGCGGCGACUUGCUACGAGGAGUCGAUGUGACGAGGAGGCCGACUUCCAAACGAGAAUCAAAAUCUAGAGGUAUUCAAUAAGAUCUUAGAUAAUACGAGAAAACGUAACUUAAGUACCCCAACUUUGACAGUUAACACGGAUACAAAUUAAGAUUUUAUAUAAACGAGACAGAUCUCUUCCAUCUUACUGUUCCAAUAAAUCUACAAACUGUGGUAGACUCUACGGGGAACUAAUCAUUCCACGCAGGCCUCGGUCUUCUUGAACUCUUUCCGUAGUAUGUAAGGAAAACGUUCUGUGAAUGUUGAAGCCUAUGCUCAUGGUUACCUGUACAGAGUCUUAGGCGGUAGAGUUCUUGACCAUCGGUUUCUAGAGGUACCUUGAUUAAACGUAAAAGUAGUGUAUAAAGCACCACUAAAAUGUUAAAUUCGUAAAUCGAACUUAUGGGAAAUUUGAAAGGCAGCAACACAAAAAUAACAAAACCAUAUCGUGAUUUACAGUGUUAACUUACAACUUAAGAAUGGUGACGUUUUUGGACGUCUUAUACGACUAAGUAAUAAAGAAUUCAUACA